RNAcentral lists this ribosomal RNA (321 nucleotides) under uncultured Protaspa. RNAcentral's name for it is "SSU rRNA". The stretch from base 60 to 321 matches the Rfam family "Eukaryotic small subunit ribosomal RNA", at positions 692 to 955 of the family's 1831-position model. The record is from RNAcentral. Lineage: Eukaryota; Cercozoa; Thecofilosea; Cryomonadida.
GAUUUCUGGUUUGGCGCGCCUGGCCCGCCACGGUUACGUGUGUGAGUGCCGGGACGCGCCUGCCAUCCUUCUAGUGAACUAUUCUGCCCUUCAUUGGGUGGGAUAGGUAGCUAGAUCUUUUACUUUGAAAAAAUUAGAGUGUUUAAAGCAGGCUUUUGCUAUGAAUACAUUAGCAUGGAAUAAUAAUCUAGGACUUCGGUUCUAUUUUGUUGGUUUCUAUAACUGAAGUAAUGAUUGAUAGGGAUAGUUGGGGGUGCUAGUAUUGGCCGGCCAGAGGUGAAAUUCUUGGAUUCGGUCAAGACUAACUUAUGCGAAAGCAUU